CUUCGCUCGUGAAGGUGACGCUUAAUAGGGAAUCCGGUGAGAAUCCGGGACUGUACCCGCAGCUGUAAGUUCCUUUAAAAAGGAUUUUGUACUUCAAAUGUCACUGGUGUAACAACCGGGAAGGCAACAAAAUCCGGAACAAGUCAGAAGACCUGCCGAACAAUAUA
This 167-nucleotide non-coding RNA is filed under the name uncultured Butyricimonas sp. The record is from RNAcentral. Lineage: Bacteria; Pseudomonadati; Bacteroidota; Bacteroidia; Bacteroidales; Odoribacteraceae.